Molecule: ribosomal RNA, 502 nt
Filed under: uncultured bacterium
Lineage: Bacteria
Description: partial 16S ribosomal RNA
Rfam family: Bacterial small subunit ribosomal RNA
Source: RNAcentral
AUUGAACGCUGGCGGCAUGCCUUACACAUGCAAGUCGAACGGCAGCAUGGGUGCUUGCACCUGAUGGCGAGUGGCGAACGGGUGAGUAAUGCAUCGGAACGUACCUUUCAGUGGGGGAUAACGUAGCGAAAGUUACGCUAAUACCGCAUAUUCUGUGAGCAGGAAAGCAGGGGAUCUUCGGACCUUGCGCUGAUGGGGCGGCCGAUGUCAGAUUAGCUAGUUGGUGGGGUAAAGGCCUACCAAGGCGACGAUCUGUAGCGGGUCUGAGAGGAGGAUCCGCAACACGGGGACUGAGACACGGCCCAGACUCCUACGGGAGGCAGCAGUGGGGAAUUUUGGACAAUGGGGGCAACCCUGAUCCAGCCAUGCCGCGUGAGUGAAGAAGGCCUUCGGGUUGUAAAGCUCUUUCGGACGGGAAGAAAUCGUGGUGGCUAAUAUCUGCCAUGGAUGACGGUACCGUAAUAAGAAGCACCGGCUAACUACGUGCCAGCCGCCGCAGUAA